AAAGAAAACGAGUUCUCAAAAAGGCUGGGCUAGAAGUCUUAAUUGUGCAUAUACCAUAAACAUGCCGUAAAUACACGUCCUUGGUGCAGCAUAUGCAAUGAUACCCGCAUGUCAUGUCUUCAGUGAAGCAGCAUGUUGGACAACCGUUGUAUAACUGAUACCAGCACAAAUGGUUUUACGACGUCGCUCCGUCUAUUUUGGAGUAUGUUCGUCCUUUUUUUUUUUUUUUUUUAAUGUAACCAGGCAUUACUGAGUCAUUGACAGAGCCAAUUAUCAUAUGAAACCUGCUAGCACAUCUCGGCAAAGAUCAUGCGCAUUGCGAUUAUGACAAAUCGCAUAUUGGUGUCUUAGACCAGCCACCCACCUUCUACAAGACACGAGAAACACUGCCAACCCGCUAAGUCCACGCCCACUGAUGACCAGCCUGAUAAUUUUCACUCGACCCCGAUAACAGUACUCUAUGGAGAAAAUAGAACAGCUAGUAUAAAGACUAGCAAAUGGAUGUCAGGUUAAUACUGCAUGCUUAUACCAUCCAUUAAUAUGCGUGGGUUGGACGCGGGUUGAUUUUUGGCGGGAUCGGCAUGGUUCAGUUGAAGGUAGUCUCUCGACAAGAAGUGCACGUAGUUGCUGUGUCCCCGCUUUAUGUAAGGUGUCUAUAGCUACAGCUUACCAGGACACUUCGAAUGUCAUGACAUGUUUCCUUCCUUGAUGGUGAAACUUUUCAUGUGAACUGACGAGGGGCACUUGCUUCGUUGUAGUUCAGUCACGGAACAUUAUCCAGUUGACAGUUGGCAAAUGUGUACCAGUUGAUAUCAAAGCGUACGGUCGUGCACUUUCAGCUGAAAUUCGAGGUGCCGAUUUUCAGGACGCAUAUACGCCAUCGUCUCCCGAUUGGGAGCAUUUAUGUGUUGACACAUCUCAGAUACUUGAAUGCGAACUGUCCGGGAGCUGUUCAGGAAGCUUCAGGUCCCACAAGUCUGUUCAAGUCUUGGAAACAAAUCGUGACCAGAAUUGAUCAAGUUGCUGGAAAGACCUGUCUUGCACGUGCCAGCUGGGGCACCUGAUUUCUAAGACGGAAAUUGCCAAUUGUAGAUGGUGUGCUGCCGACGACCGCAGAGAAUCAACUUGUUUUCGGGCGAGGAGACUGCUGAGCGAGUAACGCCUGGAGGAGAGUCUAAUGGGCUCGUGGAAGACCAUAGAGUUAGCCUCUGACGAGCCUGCAACAUCACAUGGGCGUUAGACUCGCGGAGGAAAUUCAGACCGCUCACGCGCAUGUGCCUUUAGGUCACCCCACAUAUCGGUGUGUGUGUGUGUGUGUGUGUGUCAGUGAGUCCACCUGUGACAGCAUUGAAGAGACGAAGUUCAUUGCUUCUACUCCCAAUCUUAUAGUGUAGAAACGCACAACGGGGCCGGCAGCUUUUUAAACCAAGCGUGUUGGGAGUCGACGUUUGAAUUUCACAACAGAAAUACACCUGUUCACUCUGCAGUGGGACGAACUCGGAAUCAUUAUGGGUAUAUACUUUGAGACGUCAGACAUGCACUGCCGUGUUGUCAUAACCGUGUUACCUGAGCACGGCUAAUUGAAAUCGACAAAUGAAACGGAUGGUGAGAACCUCGGCCGCGCGCGGUUGACAAAACAAGCGACGCAAACCCAGAGCCCUUGCACCUGAGCUGGUCAAGUGCAGUGUGACUGCAGCUGAAGUACCUUCAAGUGAAUGUUGACGUUCUUGGUAGUCCUAUAACGAACACACUGUCAUCUUGACUAGAAGUUGACAUCUGUGAAUUCUUCUUCGCAGACAUCAAGGACCUGCUUGUAUUUUUGAGAGGCAUCGUUGUCGACUCAUCUCAUCAACUUUGCGUGGCUGCGUCGCACGAGUAGAAAGCAACAACCCGUGGGCGUGUCUUGGAGAUUUCAUUUCUGGAGCGCUUACCAUUAAUUCGAAUGUUUAUAACAUUUUUCACUGUGUCAUUGCAGAAAGUUGCAACAUCCAAACAGUCUUUUUGAGUAAAGAUGCCCACUGAACGGCAGUCAUCAAAGGACGCCUCAUCCUAAAUGUGUUGCAGCUUGGCUCGUGCAUCUACCGGCAGUUUUUGUGUGUUCCUACUUCCGCUAGACUAAAGCGUUCCCUUUUUUACUCACCGAAGGCGGGUGAAAGUCUGUACUGCAAGAUCGCCUUACGUGACAAGUGGCUUGUUCACAGUCGGACCGGAGUGAAGGGUCCUCCACCAUGCAUCCAGCCGGGCUGUACGUGCUGUCUCUCGGGGCACUGGUCCUCGUGUUCCUCGCUCAGCAA
This 2294-nucleotide long non-coding RNA is filed under the name Patiria miniata (bat star). RNAcentral's name for it is "uncharacterized LOC119744339". The record is from RNAcentral. Lineage: Eukaryota; Metazoa; Echinodermata; Asteroidea; Valvatida; Asterinidae.